Molecule: long non-coding RNA, 5646 nt
Filed under: Brassica napus (rape)
Lineage: Eukaryota; Viridiplantae; Streptophyta; Magnoliopsida; Brassicales; Brassicaceae
Description: long non-coding RNA (BNAP_LNC001878)
Source: RNAcentral
UUCCCUUCGAAGAUUUGCUUCAGCUUCUCAUCGCAGAAGAUCUCCCUCUUGUCAGCAGGAUUCUGUCACAAAACAACAUUCACCACAAUAGAAAAAAACACUGUGAUUAAUUGGUGAUCCAUACAUCAAUCAAGCUUCUCUACCAACUUCAUCAACAAGAUACAAUAGAAUGCAUCAGUUCGAUUCACAUUUACCCCUAAAAGAUUGUUUUCCUUGCUAUUUUUUAGGUUCGUAAAGCAAAAAGACAAGGGUUUUAAAGACUUCAACCAUCUCUCUCAGACAGGAUAUGACAAUGGAGUUGUCGCAAAGACAUUAGUAGAUAAGACACGAGAAAUAAACUACUUUUUCAGCAGAACAACAAGACACAACCAGGGAUAAAACAGAGAGAGCUUUUCAGAUCUGGAAAGCACAAGUGAAUCUUUUUUAGUUAUCAAACUUCUCUACGAACUUCAUCAAGUAAAAUGUACCAACGAAACCCUAAUUUUCGUCUACAUGCAAGAUCCAAACUUUACACACACAAAAUGCAGAGAAGAGGAGAAAGAGAGUAAACCUGAAGAUCGUGGGACUUGACAUAGGUCCAAACCUCUUUGACGGCGUCGGUACGUGUGGUUUCACCGGUACCAAGGAAGUGAGCGAGAGCUGGAGAGACAGGGGUCGCCUUGAAGAUCCCAGUAGUCCUCGGCGUCUUCUUCGCCAGAGAGUCUGGUUUCGACUUUGCCUUAGGUUUCGCCUUCGGUUUCGCCGCCGACUUCUUGGUGCCUCCAGCUGCGACAGUGCUUACACUCCUCGAAGAAGAAACCACGGAAGAGGUGGCGGCGGCUCGAGAUGCAGGAGCUAGAAGCGAUCUGCAUCCCCUGAAAAAAACCCUAGCUGCAACGGAAGACAUCUCUCGCUAAUUUCAAGUGACAGAGUGGGGACAGAGUGUCUGUGUGUGAUGUCGGAGAAUUUAUUGAAGAAAGUAUUUGGGGGAAAAAGGUUUGACCUUUGACUCUUCCACGUGACGCUUUCUAAAGUAUGAAACUUGGCCUCUUUGAUACCAAAGAUUUAAACUUUCAAAUUCAGGGGGAAAGUUCUCAACUUCUUCUCGAGUCACAUCUCUUCUUCUGUGAGCUUAAAUCACGAGUUCAGGGACGAUUGGAAUAAGUAUGGGCCUCUUGGAGUCUCUGAUGUCAAUGGAUCAUGGAGAAGUAAUGGGUGGUGUGGGAAAAUCUACGGUUGCUAUCUCUCAUGUACAAUUCAAGCUCACUCUUUCAUAGACAAUAUCAAGGAAUCAUAGAACAUAUAUGGUAACAGAGAUUGUCUACCUGAUGAGUCUUAUCCUAAGCAAUAACCAACCUCCCAGUACACUCUCUAACUAUCAAUAUAUAUAAACUCUCUGUACAGCUCUCUAUAAUAGUUGUAACUGUAUAAAGAAUCAAGUUGUUAGUUAGUUAGUUACAGAAGAUAGCUGAUGUAAAGCUCUAUAUAAACACUUGUAAAAUCAUUUGAGCAAAGAUUAACACUAACACUGCAAAACAAGGAGUUGCAGAGGGAAUAAGCUAAAUACAAAACUUCCUAGACCAAUCCUAACAUGUCUCUUACAAAUAAUCUAUAUAGCAUUCCCAAGAAAUGAACAAUCUUUCAGCAAAAUCAUUCAAAUGUGAGAACUUCAAAUUCUGAAGAACACUUAUUCAAUACUAAAAAAAAAGUUUCAAACUUUGUUACUCAUAACCAAUCAAUCAAGCAGUGAUCCCCAUCACUCUUUAAACAGCCACAUUUUGAGUACAUUUCAAUCAGUGCAUUCCCUAUACGCAACUCCGAUUCAUACCCAAACCUUAACAGACAACAGUGGAUCUCCUUGCCUAGUCGUUUACCAGCAAGUGAAGCACACAUAGGCAAUGUAACUAAGAAAGUAGCCAUAUCAGGCACCACACCGCUGUUCCUCAUCUGUGUAGUUACCUGCAAACCAGUUGCGAAGUCUCCAGAACGAACACACGCUGAAAUAACCAUGUUCCAUGUCACUGUAUCUCUAGUUUCCAUGCUAUUGAAUAUCUGCAGAGAAUCUCCUCCUUCUUCCCCGCACUUAGCAUACAUAUCAAUCAGAGCAUUACUAACAGAAACAUCGGAAUAAAAACCAGACUUUGUCACGUUACAGUGUAGCCCUCUCCCAAAUUUCAAGUCUUCUAAACGAGUUGAGAGAGAUACAAGCAUUAAGUAAGUGACAUGAUCCGCUUGCUCUUCCAUCAUCAUCAUCAUCUUAAAGAGUUUCACACCUUCCAAAUAAUCUCCACUUUGUAUAUAUCCACUGAUUAACGAGUUCCAUGAAACAGUAUCCUUACACUCCAUUCCCUUGAACACAUCUCUUGCCGCGAUCACAUCACCGCACUUCGCAUACACAUCGAUUAAAAUGUUCCCCACAGUAGCUCCAACCACAAAUCCACCUCUCAUCAUGUACUCAUGAACGUACUUUGCUAAGCUUAAGUCCCUUAAGUGUCCACAGGCACGGAGAAUAGAGCUAGCCGUUAAGAUAUCCGCCUUGAACUGCUCAAGAUUCUCCAAAAACAACCGCACGGACUCUUCAUACAUCUCUAAGUUGAAACACCCACAGAUGAUAGUAUUGUAACUGACUGAGUCUCUAACAACCAUCUCAUCGAAAACUCGCCUAGCAUCCCUUACUCUCCUUAGCUUCAAGUACAUUGAGAGUAAUCCAUUGUUAACCACAGUUACAGAACUAACACCUGACUUCAUAACAAAACCGUGAAGCUCCUCUCCUUCUUUGACAGCCAGCAGAUUCCCAAACGCAUACAGAACACUAGUCACAGUAAACGAAUCCGGCACAAUCCAAGAGCUUCUUCGCAGCUCACGAUAAAGCUCCACCGCUUCCUUGUAGUAACCAUGUGAGCUAAACCCGGAGAUCAAACUGUUCCAAGAAACUAAAUCUCUCACAGGCAUUUCGUCGAACACUUCCCGCGCUCUACUCAAAAACCCCAUCCUCGAGUACAUAUCAACAACCGCAUUCCCCACGUACAAAUCAGACUCAAACCCCAAUUCGAUUAUCUUAUUAUAAACCGAAUCUCCCAUCUCCUUAUCGAACACCCCCGCGCACGCUUUGACGACGGGAGGGAACGUGUACUUAUCGGGCGAGACCUUGGCCUCGCGUAGCUUCCCGUAGAACUCGAGUGCUUCAGAGAAUAAACCGUUAUGAGAAAGCGCUCUGAUGAUCGAGUUCCAGAGGUAGACAUUCUCCGCGGGAGAGACUCGUUUGAAGACGGAGAGGGAGGAGCGGGGAUCUUUGAGGUGAGAGUAUUUGUCGAUCAGCUUGCCGGAGAAGAAGUCGGAGGAGCGUUCGAGGCCUAGAGAGAUGACGAGGGCGUGGAUUCGGCGGAGGUCUUUGAGGUUGGAUGAUGAAAGAGCUUUCGAGAUGGAGGCUGGUGACAGUACCAUUGAGCUUAUGUUUGCGCGUAAUUCUUCUUUUCUUAUAUAGUUUCCGUUUAAAAUUCAAAUUUUAAAAAAUUAGUUCAGAAAAAAAAAUUCAAAUUUUUAAUUUUUAUAACUAAAAAAAUAGAGUUUUACGCCUAAAAAGUAAUUAGUUGACUAAUGAAUUUGUGAAAAAAUAAUAUAAUGAUUUAAUUAAGAGAAAUUUUGUAAGAUAGUUUUUUUUUUAGUUUUUAUCGCAAAAAUAGUUUUCAAUGAGAAAAAUGACUAAAAGAAUUUGUAUUAAAGAUAAAAAUAUACUUAUAUCUUAGGAUUAACUAAUGUAAACUUAUGAUUUAUAGUUAAGAAGUGGAGUUUUAAAGAUAUAAUUGCAAAUUUUAAAAAAUUAAAAAUAAAAAUAAAAAGUUUCGAAAUAAAAAAUGAGUUAGUUUGAUCUUUUUUCCAUUGAAAACUAUUUUUGUGACAAAAUAAAGAAACUAUUUGAGAAAAUUGUUUUUUAAUUAAUGGUUCAUUAAUGUUUCAUUCCAAAAAAAAAAAAUCUGAAAACGAAUUAUUAUCACAUAGAAAUUAAUAUAAUUUUUUAGAGCCAAUGUUUGUACUAAUUCUAUAAUUUGUGAUCGAAUGGUAAGUAAAUGGAAUGUUAAUAAAAAUUAAGUAGUUGAUUACUUGAUUAAGAUAAAUAGUUUGGAAACUUGAUGUCAAGACACUUUCUUCACAAGUCAAACCAUGUUUACAAUCGUUUUAACAGGUACCAAAAGAGUUAAUAGAUUAUUUGACAACGUUAAGAACGAGAACAAGAGCUUCUUCCUUCCGUGUUGAGCUAAGAGUCAAGUAGUCUUCACAAAGUGAGUGGACAAGAGCUUUGUGACCUCCAGAAACCCGACUUUGUCUUUCCCUUCGAAGAUUUGCUUCAGCUUCUCAUCGCAGAAGAUCUCCCUCUUGUCAGCAGGAUUCUGUCACAAAACAACAUUCACCACAAUAGAAAAAAACACUGUGAUUAAUUGGUGAUCCAUACAUCAAUCAAGCUUCUCUACCAACUUCAUCAACAAGAUACAAUAGAAUGCAUCAGUUCGAUUCACAUUUACCCCUAAAAGAUUGUUUUCCUUGCUAUUUUUUAGGUUCGUAAAGCAAAAAGACAAGGGUUUUAAAGACUUCAACCAUCUCUCUCAGACAGGAUAUGACAAUGGAGUUGUCGCAAAGACAUUAGUAGAUAAGACACGAGAAAUAAACUACUUUUUCAGCAGAACAACAAGACACAACCAGGGAUAAAACAGAGAGAGCUUUUCAGAUCUGGAAAGCACAAGUGAAUCUUUUUUAGUUAUCAAACUUCUCUACGAACUUCAUCAAGUAAAAUGUACCAACGAAACCCUAAUUUUCGUCUACAUGCAAGAUCCAAACUUUACACACACAAAAUGCAGAGAAGAGGAGAAAGAGAGUAAACCUGAAGAUCGUGGGACUUGACAUAGGUCCAAACCUCUUUGACGGCGUCGGUACGUGUGGUUUCACCGGUACCAAGGAAGUGAGCGAGAGCUGGAGAGACAGGGGUCGCCUUGAAGAUCCCAGUAGUCCUCGGCGUCUUCUUCGCCAGAGAGUCUGGUUUCGACUUUGCCUUAGGUUUCGCCUUCGGUUUCGCCGCCGACUUCUUGGUGCCUCCAGCUGCGACAGUGCUUACACUCCUCGAAGAAGAAACCACGGAAGAGGUGGCGGCGGCUCGAGAUGCAGGAGCUAGAAGCGAUCUGCAUCCCCUGAAAAAAACCCUAGCUGCAACGGAAGACAUCUCUCGCUAAUUUCAAGUGACAGAGUGGGGACAGAGUGUCUGUGUGUGAUGUCGGAGAAUUUAUUGAAGAAAGUAUUUGGGGGAAAAAGGUUUGACCUUUGACUCUUCCACGUGACGCUUUCUAAAGUAUGAAACUUGGCCUCUUUGAUACCAAAGAUUUAAACUUUCAAAUUCAGGGGGAAAGUUCUCAACUUCUUCUCGAGUCACAUCUCUUCUUCUGUGAGCUUAAAUCACGAGUUCAGGGACGAUUGGAAUAAGUAUGGGCCUCUUGGAGUCUCUGAUGUCAAUGGAUCAUGGAGAAGUAAUGGGUGGUGUGGGAAAAUCUACGGUUGCUAUCUCUCAUGUACAAUUCAAGCUCACUCUUUCAUAGACAAUAUCAAGGAAUCAUAGAACAUAUAUGGUAACAGAGAUUGUCUACCUGAUGAGUCUUAUCCUAAGCAAUAACCAACCUCCCA